This 69-nucleotide transfer RNA is filed under the name Marmota monax (woodchuck). It matches the Rfam family "tRNA". Rfam says of the family: Transfer RNA (tRNA) molecules are approximately 80 nucleotides in length. Lineage: Eukaryota; Metazoa; Chordata; Mammalia; Rodentia; Sciuridae. The record is from Rfam by way of RNAcentral.
GGAAUUGUGGCUCAGUGGUAGAGCACUCGUCUAGCAUGUGUGAGGCCCUGGGUUCAAUCCUCAGCACCA